RNAcentral lists this ribosomal RNA (435 nucleotides) under uncultured bacterium. RNAcentral's name for it is "partial 16S ribosomal RNA". It matches the Rfam family "Bacterial small subunit ribosomal RNA", at positions 28 to 507 of the family's 1533-position model. The record is from RNAcentral.
GAUGAACGCUGGCGGUAUGCUUAACACAUGCAAGUCGAACGGACUCUUCGGAGUUAGUGGCGGACGGGUGAGUAACGCGUGAGAAUCUGGCUUUGGGGUCGGGACAACCACUGGAAACGGUGGCUAAUACCGGAUGGGCCGAGAGGUAAAAGAGAAAUUGCCUGAAGAUGAGCUCGCGUCUGAUUAGCUAGUUGGUGAGGUAAAGACUCACCAAGGCAGCGAUCAGUAGCUGGUCUGAGAGGAUGACCAGCCACACUGCGUCUGAGACACGGCCCAGACUCCUCCGGGAGGCAGCAGGGGGGAAUGAUCCGCAAUGGGCGAAAGCCUGACGGAGCAAUACCGCGUGAGGGAAGAAGGCUCUUGGGUUGUACACCUCUUUUCUUAGCGAAGCACAAAAUGACGGUACCUAAGGAAUCAGCAUCGGCUAACUCCGUG